This is a non-coding RNA of Macaca mulatta (Rhesus monkey), 1923 nucleotides long. NCBI's taxonomy places the organism in Eukaryota, Metazoa, Chordata, Mammalia, Primates, Cercopithecidae. The record is from RefSeq and is a predicted model, not a curated record.
UUGUGUACUUUUAAAGGCUACAGGUUGCAUUAAUUUUGAGAAGAAACCACCGCGGCUAAACAAAAAGGUAGUGACUUAGACACCUGCCCCUGGGGGGGAGGGGAGUCCUCCGCCCUCCCAGGAGGCGCAGUUGCCUAGCAACCGAAUGCUCUGCAGGCCCCGCAGGUCCAGAAAAGUCCCGAGUUGAUCUCUGUCCGGUGUCUGUCCUACUUCCAUUCGCUCGUUUCUGUCCCUCUCGCUUUACCUUCUGAUUCUAGAAACACAAACAAGUAAACAGCUUCCACCGUACCAUCCCACCUAUCAAGACCUAAAGCCCUAAAUCCUGAAAUUCUCCACUCUAUUUCUCGAGGUCCUUCCCACCGAAUCUCAACGUCUGAACUGCAAAGGGCUUGCUUUUACUCAUUUUACAGAUGAGAAACUGAGAUAGACUCAGAGAAGAGAAAUUAUUAAAAUUGCAUUGAGUUAGGGAGCUGGAACUACAAUCUGAUUGACUACAAGUUGCUAAUACAUUUGUUAAUUUGACUCACAUGGUGAUUCCGGAUUGUAAAUUGGUGACAGUUUUACCAAACUAGAUAAUGUGUGCAAAAAAUAAUAAUUUUUAAAAAGAAACACCGUCUCCUGGCACUUGCUGUUUGGCAAGUGUUUACUUGUGCAGAGUGAUUUCUUCAAAAACAAUUCUGACUUUUCUCUAGAAAUUUGCACAGAUGACAAAUAUGCUUAAUGGCAACGGUUUUGAAAAGAGAGAUGUGACCAGCUAAAUCCAGAUUGCAGGUGUAUUUGGUUUGGUAAAUGAAGACUGGGGAAUGCUAAAGCACCCAAGUCAGCCCUGUGCAGCCCUGCUGGCCCCCAUUCUUUCUUACUCCGGAUACAGAUGAUGGAAUAUCACCUAGCAAUAAGAGCUUCAUUAAGCUUUCUGAUGUGACACUGGUAAUACUGGAUUAUAUAAAGUUGUGAGGGGGGAUUUCAAGGAACUCACUAGUGAAUUAGAACAUAUUCUUACUAAAAAACAAAAAACGCUCUCCAGGUGACAAAGAGAAACGAUGUGUUUUUGCCCAGGGUACCCUACAUGGGCCUCAGAGCCACUUCUCAGGCCUGAUUUCUUUCUUUCCAGCAGCUGCCAGAAAGCUAUCCUGCAUUCCGCUUUUUCAAAUUCUGCCCAGAAUGGAAACUCUUUCAGUUUACUUUUCAUGACAUUUAUGUAAAUUCCUUUCAGAUGGCCUUUAUUUCUUGCAUGUAAACUGCGUGUAGAUUAGAAGUCAUAAUCAAAGCCAAAACGGUAAUCCUGUCUCAAGUUAGUAAUUGGCAUCUUUGAGGAAGUAGACAUGGGAUAACAUCUAUUCCAAUAUAUCUGUACCACACAGGAGUCCACCCCUUUUGGAGUCAUAUUUCUUGAAACGAUGGUAGUUUAUUUUAGCUUUUGUCAGAUAUCUGUCUUGGUAUUUCCUAUGGAAAUCAAACAGUAAUUUUUAGACAAUAAGGGUUCAUAUUGGUAUAUCGUGAAUUAGUAUUUUUUUGUCGUAAAUCUUGUGGCUAUCCUGAACUUAACACUUUUUAAAUUGUGGAUUUCAAAUUAUUUUUACAGGUAUUGAUAAAUCUUGUUCAUAUUCCUGUUAGAAGAGGACACUUGGGAAACUGAGUAGGAGGGGAAAUGACAUAGUCAGGAAUUGAUUGCUCCCAAUACUUUUGUUACAGGAGUUUUCUACAGGAUCACAAUUGAAGUUAUUUAAUUAAGAGUAACUGUUGGUGAUGUCCCAAACAGUAAUUUUUUUUAAAACUCCAAGUACAAUUUUUUUUUUUUUUUUUUUUUUGCAAUUCGGAAAUCAGAUCUCACGUGUCAAUUUACGAUCUAAAGUCUACUUUCAGCUUUGCGGUCACUUAAGGAGACAUACACUUAGAACCAGGCGCAGUGGCUCAGGCCUGUAA